GAUGAUAGCCGAUAGCACGUUGAAUACACCAGUUUCCGAUCGAUCACUGAAGUUAAGCAACGGUGAGCAAGGUUGGUAUCCGGAUAAGUAAACAUUUUGGCAAUCGCGUGCUGAUAUAU
Molecule: ribosomal RNA, 119 nt
Filed under: Diaphorina citri (Asian citrus psyllid)
Lineage: Eukaryota; Metazoa; Arthropoda; Insecta; Hemiptera; Psyllidae
Source: RNAcentral